RNAcentral lists this ribosomal RNA (250 nucleotides) under uncultured bacterium. Its description in RNAcentral is "partial 16S ribosomal RNA". It matches the Rfam family "Bacterial small subunit ribosomal RNA", at positions 524 to 773 of the family's 1533-position model. The record is from RNAcentral.
UACGAGUGCCUCAAGCGUUAUCCGGAAUUAUUGGGCGUAAAGGGUGCGCAGACUGUCGCGUUAGUCUCAUGUUAAAGCCUACGGCUCAACCGUAGAAUCGCAUGGGAAACGGCGCGACUUGAGCGUGUGAGGGGUCUAUGGAAUUCUAGGUGUAGGGGUAAUAUCCGUUGAUAUCUAGGAGAACACCAAAAGCGAAGGCAAUAGACUGGCACACUUCUGACGUUCAUGCACGAAAGCGUGGGUAGCGAAU